GAUGAACGCUGGCGGCGUGCCUAAUACAUGCAGUCGAGCGAACAGAUAAGGAGCUUGCUCCUUUGACGUUAGCGGCGGACGGGUGAGUAACACGUGGGUAACCUACCUAUAAGACUGGGAUAACUUCGGGAAACCGGAGCUAAUACCGGAUAAUAUUUCGAACCGCAUGGUUCGAUAGUGAAAGAUGGUUUUGCUAUCACUUAUAGAUGGACCCGCGCCGUAUUAGCUAGUUGGUAAGGUAACGGCUUACCAAGGCGACGAUACGUAGCCGACCUGAGAGGGUGAUCGGCCACACUGGAACUGAGACACGGUCCAGACUCCUACGGGAGGCAGCAGUAGGGAAUCUUCCGCAAUGGGCGAAAGCCUGACGGAGCAACGCCGCGUGAGUGAUGAAGGUCUUCGGAUCGUAAAACUCUGUUAUUAGGGAAGAACAUACGUGUAAGUAACUGUGCACGUCUUGACGGUACCUAAUCAGAAAGCCACGGCUAACUACGUGCCAGCAGCCGCGGUAAUACGUAGGUGGCAAGCGUUAUCCGGAAUUAUUGGGCGUAAAGCGCGCGUAGGCGGUUUUUUAAGUCUGAUGUGAAAGCCCACGGCUCAACCGUGGAGGGUCAUUGGAAACUGGAAAACUUGAGUGCAGAAGAGGAAAGUGGAACUCCAUGUGUAGCGGUGAAAUGCGCAGAGAUAUGGAGGAACACCAGUGGCGAAGGCGACUUUCUGGUCUGUAACUGACGCUGAUGUGCGAAAGCGUGGGGAUCAAACAGGAUUAGAUACCCUGGUAGUCCACGCCGUAAACGAUGAGUGCUAAGUGUUAGGGGGUUUCCGCCCCUUAGUGCUGCAGCUAACGCAUUAAGCACUCCGCCUGGGGAGUACGACCGCAAGGUUGAAACUCAAAGGAAUUGACGGGGACCCGCACAAGCGGUGGAGCAUGUGGUUUAAUUCGAAGCAACGCGAAGAACCUUACCAAAUCUUGACAUCCUUUGACAACUCUAGAGAUAGAGCUUUCCCCUUCGGGGGACAAAGUGACAGGUGGUGCAUGGUUGUCGUCAGCUCGUGUCGUGAGAUGUUGGGUUAAGUCCCGCAACGAGCGCAACCCUUAAGCUUAGUUGCCAUCAUUAAGUUGGGCACUCUAAGUUGACUGCCGGUGACAAACCGGAGGAAGGUGGGGAUGACGUCAAAUCAUCAUGCCCCUUAUGAUUUGGGCUACACACGUGCUACAAUGGACAAUACAAAGGGCAGCGAAACCGCGAGGUCAAGCAAAUCCCAUAAAGUUGUUCUCAGUUCGGAUUGUAGUCUGCAACUCGACUACAUGAAGAUGGAAUCGCUAGUAAUCGUAGAUCAGCAUGCUACGGUGAAUACGUUCCCGGGUCU
RNAcentral lists this ribosomal RNA (1371 nucleotides) under uncultured bacterium. RNAcentral describes it as "bacterial SSU rRNA". It matches the Rfam family "Bacterial small subunit ribosomal RNA", at positions 28 to 1381 of the family's 1533-position model. The record is from RNAcentral.